Molecule: non-coding RNA, 1167 nt
Organism: Orcinus orca (killer whale)
Lineage: Eukaryota; Metazoa; Chordata; Mammalia; Artiodactyla; Delphinidae
Source: the annotation of a RefSeq genome assembly
AGGGCCUGAGCUUCUGCAUUCAGAAUAGCUCCCCGGUGAUGCAGAUGCUACUCACCUGCAGACCACAUUCAGAGCAGCCACUUUCUGUAGUGCUUGCCACUCCUUUCGGAGACUUUUGUGUUCCUGGCAGGAAGGAGGUGAGGAAGGUUCACAAAAAUUGUGAACUGCUCUUUCUUUCUCUAUCUGACCAAUAGAGGGGGCUGUUGUGUAAACUGGAAAUGGUUUUUCUAUAUAAGAUCAGAAUAAUCGCACAAAAAACUUCCUUCCCUACAGUUUAAAGAGAUAUUCUGACACCACUUUUUGCACAGUGACAUGUAAAGCAUCUCAGACGCCCGAGGCAGGCAGUCUUGUUAAGACAGCCUCUCUCCCAACACACCUUACAACGUCCAUCAGAUGAAGAAAUCUAAAUCCUGUGUCAUUCCUUCUCAACCUCACAGCAACCUGGGUUCAAGUCCACCAGUCAUCCGACUUUUGUUUGUGGAGAAUCUCCCAGAAAGGAGCUCACUGCCUCCUCACUGCUCCACCAUGACCUUGGUGUUCACCUUGAUGCUUGAGGUGCUCCUGUUCCUGAGAGGAGCCGGAGCCCAGUCGGUGACCCAGCCUGACGGCCACAUCACUGUCUCUGAAGGAGCCCGUCUGGAGCUGAGGUGCAGCUACUCAUCUUCUUCUUCGCCCUUUCUCUUCUGGUACGUGCAGUACCCCAAUCAAGGACUCCAGCUUCUCCUGAAGUACACAUCUGGAAACAGCCUUGUCUCAGGUAUCAAAGGUUUUGAGGCUGAAUUUAGGAGGAGUGAGAAGUCCUUCCACCUGAGGAAAACAUCAGCCCAUUGGAAAGACUCGGCCAAGUACUUCUGUGCUCUGAGUGACACAGUGACUAAGACUACAGUGGGAGCUGAACACAAAUCUCCUGAGACUUAGUAGCUUAAAAGACUCAGGGUCUCAGCCUAUGUUAUUUUCAGGAUGUUGGCAUGUUCUGUGAAGGCAAACAGUACAGAGAAUACAGAAUCCUGAAAGUGUCUGGUUCUCAUGGGCAUCUUAGAUUUCUUUUCUCUUUCUUUUUUCUUUUGCAAAGGAAAGACUAUUGUUUUCUUAAUUUCAGUGCUCUCAGUGGUCUUGAGGCUGGUGGGUGGUUUCCUGUCAGUGUCACCUGAGCAGGCUGUGCCUAUA